Molecule: long non-coding RNA, 224 nt
Filed under: Gallus gallus (chicken)
Lineage: Eukaryota; Metazoa; Chordata; Aves; Galliformes; Phasianidae
Source: RNAcentral
GUUGUGCUGUAGGACCAGAAGCAGCAGCACUGUCCAUGCUACAUUGCACAGCGUUCCUCAAAGCACGCAGCUUGUCUGUGAGAAGUUCAGUAAGAUUCUUCUGUUUUCUGGCUAAAUACUGAUCAUAUAACUGAGCCAGUUUAGCUGCUAACACAUGUUCACGGCUAAAACAGGGAUGAUGUGUGAAUAUUAGUCCAGAAAUAUCAAUAUCCAGUUGAAACGGC